GCACAAUGGGCGCAAGCCUGAUGCAGCCAUGCCGCGUGUGUGAAGAAGGCCGUUCGGGUUGUAAAGCACUUUCAGUCGUGAGGAAGGUGGUAGUGUUAAUAGCACUAUCAUUUGACGUUAGCGACAGAAGAAGCACCGGCUAACUCCGUGCCAGCAGCCGACGGUAAGUACGGGAGGGGUGCGAGUACGUUAAGUACGGUAAUUACGUGGGGACGUAAAGCGCAUGCAGGUGGUUUGUUAAGUCAGAUGUGAAAGCCCCGGGGCUCAACCUCGGAAUUGCAUUUGAAACUGGCAGACUAGAGUACUGUAGAGGGGGUAGAAUUUCAGGUGUAGCGGUGAAAUGCGUAGAGAUCUGAAGGAAUACCGGUGGCGAAGGCGGCCCCCUGGACAGAUACUGACACUCAGAUGCGAAAGCGUGGGGAGCAAACAGGAUUAGAUACCCUGGUAG
Molecule: ribosomal RNA, 448 nt
Filed under: uncultured bacterium
Lineage: Bacteria
Description: bacterial SSU rRNA
Rfam family: Bacterial small subunit ribosomal RNA
Source: RNAcentral